Molecule: ribosomal RNA, 497 nt
Filed under: uncultured bacterium
Lineage: Bacteria
Description: partial 16S ribosomal RNA
Rfam family: Bacterial small subunit ribosomal RNA
Source: RNAcentral
GACGAACGCUGGCGGCGUGCCUAAUACAUGCAAGUUGAGCGCUGAAGGUUGGUACUUGUACCAACUGGAUGAGCAGCGAACGGGUGAGUAACGCGUGGGGAAUCUGCCUUUGAGCGGGGGACAACAUUUGGAAACGAAUGCUAAUACCGCAUAAAAACUUUAAACACAAGUUUUAAGUUUGAAAGAUGCAAUUGCAUCACUCAAAGAUGAUCCCGCGUUGUAUUAGCUAGUUGGUGAGGUAAAGGCUCACCAAGGCGAUAAUACAUAGCCGACCUGAGAGGGUGAUAGGCCACAUUGGGACUGAGACACGGCCCAAACUCCUACGGGAGGCAGCAGUAGGGAAUCUUCGGCAAUGGACGAAAGUCUGAACGAGCAACGCCGCGUGAGUGAAGAAGGUUUUCGGAUCGUAAAACUCUGUUGGUAGAGAAGAACGUUGGUGAGAGUGGAAAGCUCAUCAAGUGACGGUAACUACCCAGAAAGGGACGGCUAACUACGUG